RNAcentral lists this ribosomal RNA (2914 nucleotides) under Vibrio parahaemolyticus. RNAcentral describes it as "bacterial LSU rRNA". It matches the Rfam family "Bacterial large subunit ribosomal RNA". The record is from RNAcentral. Lineage: Bacteria; Pseudomonadati; Pseudomonadota; Gammaproteobacteria; Vibrionales; Vibrionaceae.
GUUGUAUGGUUAAGUGACUAAGCGUACACGGUGGAUGCCUUGGCAGUCAGAGGCGAUGAAAGACGUAGUAACUUGCGAUAAGCCCAGAUUAGGUAGUAACAACCAUUUGAGUCUGGGAUUUCUGAAUGGGGAAACCCACGUGCAUAAGCACGUAUCCUUACCUGAAUACAUAGGGUAAGGAGGCGAACCGGGGGAACUGAAACAUCUAAGUACCCCGAGGAAAAGAAAUCAACCGAGAUUCCGAAAGUAGCGGCGAGCGAAAUUGGACUAGCCCUUAAGCUUUACACGCGUUAGACGAACGGUCUGGAAAGUCCGACGAUACAGGGUGAUAGUCCCGUAGUUGACGACGUGUGUUCAGUGAAAUCGAGUAGGGCGGGACACGUGAUAUCCUGUCUGAAUAUGGGGGGACCAUCCUCCAAGGCUAAAUACUACUGACUGACCGAUAGUGAACCAGUACCGUGAGGGAAAGGCGAAAAGAACCCCUGUGAGGGGAGUGAAAUAGAACCUGAAACCGUGUACGUACAAGCAGUAGGAGCAGGCUUGUCCUGUGACUGCGUACCUUUUGUAUAAUGGGUCAGCGACUUAUAUUCAGUGGCAAGGUUAACCAUCUAGGGGAGCCGUAGGGAAACCGAGUCUUAACUGGGCGUUCAGUCUCUGGAUAUAGACCCGAAACCAGGUGAUCUAGCCAUGGGCAGGUUGAAGGUUGAGUAACAUCAACUGGAGGACCGAACCGACUAAUGUUGAAAAAUUAGCGGAUGACUUGUGGCUAGGGGUGAAAGGCCAAUCAAACCUGGAGAUAGCUGGUUCUCCCCGAAAGCUAUUUAGGUAGCGCCUCGGACGAAUACUACUGGGGGUAGAGCACUGUUAAGGCUAGGGGGUCAUCCCGACUUACCAACCCUUUGCAAACUCCGAAUACCAGUAAGUACUAUCCGGGAGACACACGGCGGGUGCUAACGUCCGUCGUGGAGAGGGAAACAACCCAGACCGCCAGCUAAGGUCCCAAAUUACUACUAAGUGGGAAACGAUGUGGGAAGGCUCAGACAGCCAGGAUGUUGGCUUAGAAGCAGCCAUCAUUUAAAGAAAGCGUAAUAGCUCACUGGUCGAGUCGGCCUGCGCGGAAGAUGUAACGGGGCUAAGUAGUAAACCGAAGCUGCGGCAAUACUCUUUGAGUAUUGGGUAGGGGAGCGUUCUGUAAGCGGUUGAAGGUGUGUGGUAACGCAUGCUGGACGUAUCAGAAGUGCGAAUGCUGACAUGAGUAACGAUAAAGGGGGUGAAAAACCUCCUCGCCGGAAGACCAAGGGUUCCUGUCCAACGUUAAUCGGGGCAGGGUAAGUCGACCCCUAAGGCGAGGCCGAAAGGCGUAGUCGAUGGGAAACGGGUUAAUAUUCCCGUACUUCUUACAAUUGCGAUGGGGGGACGGAGAAGGCUAGGUGGGCCUGGCGACGGUUGUCCAGGUUCAAGUGCGUAGGCUUAAGAGUUAGGUAAAUCCGGCUCUUUCUAAGGCUGAGACACGACGUCGAGCACCUACGGGUGUGAAGUCAUUGAUGCCAUGCUUCCAGGAAAAGCCUCUAAGCUUCAGAUUGUAAGGAAUCGUACCCCAAACCGACACAGGUGGUCGGGUAGAGAAUACCAAGGCGCUUGAGAGAACUCGGGUGAAGGAACUAGGCAAAAUGGUACCGUAACUUCGGGAGAAGGUACGCUCUCGACGGUGAAGUCCCUCGCGGAUGGAGCUAUUGAGAGUCGCAGAUACCAGGUGGCUGCAACUGUUUAUUAAAAACACAGCACUGUGCAAAAUCGUAAGAUGACGUAUACGGUGUGACGCCUGCCCGGUGCCGGAAGGUUAAUUGAUGGGGUUAGACUUCGGUCGAAGCUCUUGAUCGAAGCCCCGGUAAACGGCGGCCGUAACUAUAACGGUCCUAAGGUAGCGAAAUUCCUUGUCGGGUAAGUUCCGACCUGCACGAAUGGCGUAAUGAUGGCCACGCUGUCUCCACCCGAGACUCAGUGAAAUUGAAAUCGCUGUGAAGAUGCAGUGUACCCGCGGCUAGACGGAAAGACCCCGUGAACCUUUACUACAGCUUGGCACUGAACAUUGACCCUACAUGUGUAGGAUAGGUGGGAGGCUUUGAAGCACGUACGCCAGUAUGUGUGGAGCCGUCCUUGAAAUACCACCCUUGUAGUGUUGAUGUUCUAACGUCGACCCCUAAUCGGGGUUGCGGACAGUGCCUGGUGGGUAGUUUGACUGGGGCGGUCUCCUCCCAAAGAGUAACGGAGGAGCACGAAGGUGGGCUAAUCACGGUUGGACAUCGUGAGGUUAGUGCAAUGGCAUAAGCCCGCUUGACUGCGAGAAUGACAAUUCGAGCAGGUGCGAAAGCAGGUCAUAGUGAUCCGGUGGUUCUGAAUGGAAGGGCCAUCGCUCAACGGAUAAAAGGUACUCCGGGGAUAACAGGCUGAUACCGCCCAAGAGUUCAUAUCGACGGCGGUGUUUGGCACCUCGAUGUCGGCUCAUCACAUCCUGGGGCUGAAGUCGGUCCCAAGGGUAUGGCUGUUCGCCAUUUAAAGUGGUACGCGAGCUGGGUUUAGAACGUCGUGAGACAGUUCGGUCCCUAUCUGCCGUGGGCGUUGGAAGAUUGAAGGGGGCUGCUCCUAGUACGAGAGGACCGGAGUGGACGAACCUCUGGUGUUCGGGUUGUGUCGCCAGACGCAUUGCCCGGUAGCUAAGUUCGGAAUCGAUAACCGCUGAAAGCAUCUAAGCGGGAAGCGAGCCCUGAGAUGAGUCUUCCCUGAUACUUUAAGUAUCCUAAAGGGUUGUCGGAGACUACGACGUUGAUAGGUCAGGUGUGUAAGUGCUGUGAGGCAUUGAGCUAACUGAUACUAAUUGCCCGUGAGGCUUAACCAUACAACACCCAAGGGGUUU